CCUUAGUUUGACGGAGAUCUGAGGGGUGUCAGCAGAAAGGGGUGGUCUGGUUAAGGGGAGGCCAUGGGGGAAUUUGCAGCUGAGUCGUGGAAAGGACGCCAGGGACAAGAGGCUGACGAUGGGCUUGAAGCAGCCUGGGUUCAAAGACCGCUGCUCGAUCCUAAUAGAAAGCAGAACGCAAGAGAGUGUAGGAUUUCUGAAUGAGAUGCCGAACUGUCUGGAAAAUAGAAGGGGCCGCUUUCUACAGAACACUCCAAACAUUCUGUUGCACAGCAAGGGGAGAGAGCUGAACAUGUCAGUGGGAGCAGGCCUGCCGAGGUGUCCAUUUGUUUCGGGGCAAGUCCCUCACCUUCUCCAGGCAUUUGAAACAUGGAGUUGAGCCCACACACCCCAAGGCACUGGAUGAGAUGUGCUUGGAAUAAGGCACAGAACAGGGAUCUGAACGCUAAUAAACCCUCCAGAAAACCACAGUGAAACACGAGAACCAUGGCAGAAAUGGAUGAGGAAAACACUGCUCCUGAUUUCACAAGCCUUAAGAAGUCGCUCAGAAGACCAAGCCCUGAAUGCGUUAGCUGUCCAACCCCGUUCCCCAAAGCCCUCCUCGCUGAGGCCUGCUCCUGGAGAGUAGAGCGGAGCUUUGAGAGCACAGGUCCUGGGGCAAGGAGAGCUUGUGUCCUUGGCCACCAGUGUUGGGCAGGUGGCUCAACCCCCUUCCCCUGCAGCUUCCAUAUCUGGAGGGUUGCUGUGGCCAAUAAACAGGAUGAAUGCUACCAAAUUCUCCGCA
Mustela erminea (ermine) is the source of this 784-nucleotide long non-coding RNA. RefSeq lists it as uncharacterized. NCBI's taxonomy places the organism in Eukaryota, Metazoa, Chordata, Mammalia, Carnivora, Mustelidae. The transcript is spliced from 3 exons. The record is from RefSeq and is a predicted model, not a curated record.